GACGAACGCUGGCGGCGUGCUUAACACAUGCCAGUCGAACGGAAAGGCCCAGCUUUCUGUGUACUCGAGUGGCGAACGGGUGAGUAACACGUGCGUGAUCUGCCCUGCACUCUGGGAUAAGCCUGGGCAACUGGGCGUAAUACCUGAUAUGAACUUACAUCGCAUGGUGUUUGGUGGAAAGCUUUUGCGGUUCAGGAUGGGUCCGCGGCCUAUCCGCUUUGUGGUGGGGUAAUGGUAUACCAACGCGACGACGGGUAGCCGACCUGGGAGGGUCAUCGGCCACACUGGGACUGAGAGACGGCGCAGAAGGCUACGGGAGGCAGCAGUGGGGAAUAUUGCACAAUGGGGGCAAGCCUGAUGCAGAGACGCCGCGUGCGGGAUGACGGCCUUCGGGUUGUAAACAUCUUUCACCAGGGACGAAGCGUGCGUGACGGUACCUGGAGAAGAAGCACCGGCUAACUACGUG
This 466-nucleotide ribosomal RNA is filed under the name uncultured bacterium. RNAcentral describes it as "partial 16S ribosomal RNA". It matches the Rfam family "Bacterial small subunit ribosomal RNA", at positions 28 to 507 of the family's 1533-position model. The record is from RNAcentral.